ACGAACGCUGGCGGCGUGCUUAACACAUGCAAGUCGAACGGAAAGGCCCUGCUUUUGUGGGGUGCUCGAGUGGCGAACGGGUGAGUAACACGUGAGUAACCUGCCCUUGACUUUGGGAUAACUUCAGGAAACUGGGGCUAAUACCGGAUAGGAGCUCCUGCUGCAUGGUGGGGGUUGGAAAGUUUCGGCGGUUGGGGAUGGACUCGCGGCUUAUCAGCUUGUUGGUGGGGUAGUGGCUUACCAAGGCUUUGACGGGUAGCCGGCCUGAGAGGGUGACCGGCCACAUUGGGACUGAGAUACGGCCCAGACUCCUACGGGAGGCACCAGUGGGGAAUAUUGCACAAUGGGCGGAAGCCUGAUGCAGCAACGCCGCGUGCGGGAUGACGGCCUUCGGGUUGUAAACCGCUUUCGCCUGUGACGAAGCGUGAGUGACGGUAAUGGGUAAAGAAGCACCGGCUAACUACGUG
This 467-nucleotide ribosomal RNA is filed under the name uncultured bacterium. RNAcentral's name for it is "partial 16S ribosomal RNA". It matches the Rfam family "Bacterial small subunit ribosomal RNA", at positions 29 to 507 of the family's 1533-position model. The record is from RNAcentral.